Molecule: ribosomal RNA, 380 nt
Filed under: uncultured eukaryote
Lineage: Eukaryota
Description: partial 18S ribosomal RNA
Rfam family: Eukaryotic small subunit ribosomal RNA
Source: RNAcentral
CAAUAGCGUAUAUUAAAGUUGUUGCGGUUAAAAAGCUCGUAGUUGGAUUUCUGCCGAGGACGACCGGUCCGCCCUCUGGGUGAGUAUCUGGCUCGGCCUGGGCAUCUUCUUGGAGAACGUAGCUGCACUUGACUGUGUGGUGCGGUAUCCAGGACUUUUACUUUGAGGAAAUUAGAGUGUUUCAAGCAGGCUUACGCCUUGAAUACAUUAGCAUGGAAUAAUAAGAUAGGACCUCGGUUCUAUUUUGUUGGUUUCUAGAGCUGAGGUAAUGAUUAAUAGGGAUAGUUGGGGGCAUUCGUAUUUAACUGUCAGAGGUGAAAUUCUUGGAUUUGUUAAAGACGGACUACUGCGAGAGCAUUUGCCAAGGAUGUUUUCAUUGA